UCCCUGGUGGCUCAGAUGGUAAAGCGUCUGCCUGCAAUGCGGGAGACCCAGGUUCAAUCCCUGGGUUGGGAA
Non-coding RNA from Bos taurus (domestic cattle), 72 nucleotides. NCBI's taxonomy places the organism in Eukaryota, Metazoa, Chordata, Mammalia, Artiodactyla, Bovidae. The record is from Rfam.